CCUACGGGGUGCAGCAGUGGGGAAUAUUGCACAAUGGGGGAAACCCUGAUGCAGCGACGCCGCGUGAGUGAAGAAGUAUUUCGGUACGUAAAGCUCUAUCAGCAGGGAAGAAAAUGACGGUACCUGACUAAGAAGCCCCGGCUAACUACGUGCCAGCAGCCGCGGUAAUACGGAAGGUCCGGGCGUUAUCCGGAUUUAUUGGGUUUAAAGGGAGCGUAGGCCGCAUGUCAAGCGGGCUGUGAAAUGUCCGGGCUCAACCCGGGCCUUGCAGCGCGAACUGGCGUGCUUGAGUCCGCGGAAAGCAGGCGGAAUUCGUCGUGUAGCGGUGAAAUGCGUAGAUAUACGGAGGAACACCAGUGGCGAAGGCGGAUUGCUGGACAGUAACUGACGCUGAGGCGCGAAAGCGUGGGGAGCAAACAGGAUUAGAUACCCUUGUAGUC
Molecule: ribosomal RNA, 440 nt
Filed under: uncultured bacterium
Lineage: Bacteria
Description: partial 16S ribosomal RNA
Rfam family: Bacterial small subunit ribosomal RNA
Source: RNAcentral